This 3581-nucleotide small RNA is filed under the name Histoplasma capsulatum. RNAcentral's name for it is "hypothetical RNA". Lineage: Eukaryota; Fungi; Ascomycota; Eurotiomycetes; Onygenales; Ajellomycetaceae. The record is from RNAcentral.
GAACCGGACGUUCAAGUUCCGCAAGUUUGGGAACAUCUUCAGGUUCUGAACUAGUCUUAUGAACCGUCCUGGCAGGAUGGGGUCCUCGUCUGCUUUAAUCUGCCACUCCUGGAGCAGCAUAGGAUAGUUUUUAAGGAAUUUCUUGUUGCAGGAUGUAUAAAAAGUACAUUAGUUCUAGCGUUUCUGUCUCCCCAGUUGCUUGUGUGAGAUAAUAUGCUUUCCAGACCCCUUCAUGAAGCCAUAUACCUAAGUUGCAGAGGCCUCUUCCUGAAAAGUCUAGCAGAAUAAAACUAGCAUCUGACAAUUCCAACUUACAGGUGACCAACCGCGAAGACCCAAGUUGAUUUUAUUCACAUAUUGCUUCAAUUCCUCAUGCGCUCGAACCUGCUCCAAUCGAACGCAGCUCGGAUCACCUACGGUGAGCCUCACUUCCCUAAAAAGCUCCCGAGUCGCAGACUUCGAACAUCUAUGGCAAGUGAGACGAAGAUUUUUGAGUGAUUUUCGAUCUGAAAAGGAUGCGAUGCGAGCCCAAAGUUCGCUUGGGAGCUGAGGGAUAGCCAGUGCCAUCUUGGCAGACUGAAAAGUAAAGCCCGAUGGAAGUUAGGUAGCUGGUAAUUGACUCCCACUCUCAAUCCGAGGCAUGCGCCAGAUGUCCCAUUUAUAAGUUUUUUUUUUUUUUUGGAUCGGCUGCGAAGUGCGGAGCAGCAACUCCCAACUCCACCUUCUUCCUGUAACUAAGCUUAACUUAGCGCCGUACUAUCAUCAUGAUGCCAAAGGAUAUCCUGCCGCCCAAAGGUAUCAUGAACGAAUGGCUCUCUUCCAAAUUGUCGACGAACAGUUCUCCACUUCAUCGCGAGGAAUUUUAGGCUGCAUUGAGGAAUGUAGUAUCCAUGAUACGAGGGCGUGAUCACAACAGUGCAACCAUGAAACAAUCAAGUAUUUGUAUUGAAUGAAUAGUGGAUUGGAUACCUUGAACUGCUGGCGCCAAUGCUGUUGCUGACUUCGACGGGUUCUCAGAAGGCAAUUUUCGGCGAAGAAAUCACUCCAGUAGAAUAGACACCGCUUUCCUCAGUGUACAUAAAGUCCAGGAGCAUGGAUGAUCAGUAUGGGGAGUGAAUGUCCACAUAUCCAACCGUAGAAUUCUUCACAAUGCGGUGGUUGCACCCUCCAAGGCCCGGCCUUAUCUAAGCACUUCCACAGGAAAAAAAAUCCGUAACCGAGAAAAUCAGCGUGCCAAGAUUUCGCUCUUCCCCACACCCUGCGGCCUCGCAAAUUAUUCUUUUCACGGCAGAGCCUGGAGACCAACCAGUGCGUUGUCGAUUGGACUUCUUCUUCACCAUCGGCCUGCCAGCAAGAGAGGAAGGGUUCUUGCUUUGGCAUCUUGUGUCGGAUUCUCUUUGCUAUUGCCAUGGCGGACAGUCUCGAGGAACGGCUGCGGAGUCAUGCACAGGCUUUCGAUGGAUUGCUAUCGUUGAUUCCUGCAAAAUAUUACUAUGGAGAAGAUACCACUGAUCAAUGGCAGCGCAAGAAGCAAACGAAAGAGGAAGCUCGAAAUGCCAAACGUGCAAAGCUUGACCCUGAUACCUUGAAAACUGCAAAAGACGUAAUGGAUGAAAAUGCCCGGAAGAGGAAGAGAGAAGAAGGUGAAAAUGAUGAAGCACUAUCAGAUUCCGAUGGUGAUGAUAGCAAUGGGGAAUUAGGAACAGAAACACCAAUGGAGGGUCUUAUCCGUGGUCAAAAUAAGUCGAAAAAGCAAAGAAAAGCAGAGAAAUCGGAAGGCGACCACAACAAAGAUAAAAGUGAAGAUGCAGAAGCCCGCAGGAAACGGCAGGAAGAGAAAGCAGCAAAGAAAGCAGCGAAAAAGGAACAGAAAAAAUCGAAAACAGUAGCCAAGCUGGAAAAGAAGAAGGCGGCCAAGUCAGGUACUCAAGGAGAUACCAAGGAGAAUAUGAACGAGGAUACCCUAAAACACCAAAAGCAACAAAAACUCCAAGAGCCUACGCUCAAUGGAACGCCCAAGAUAGACGACGAUGACGAAGUAGAUGAAGACAUUGCUCCUAUAGAAGGAUUCUCAGCCCUGCAAAAUACUGAGGAUGCGGAGCCAGCAUCCACCGCUCCAUCAUCACCAGGCCCCAACUCACAACAAUUUGAUCCUUCCAACCCACCGUCCGGAACAUCCUCCAUUUCCUCCAUUGCCCCGCCCGUAGUCACCACCGACGCCACAACCAAGCCAGAAACUGUCACACAAUCCUCAAACGACAUCAACAAAAAAACCAAAAGCCUAACCCCCGAAGAGCUCAAGCAACGAUUACAAAAGCGCAUAGAAGAACUACGAGCCGCGCGCCACGCCGACGGCUUCAAUGGCAAACCUGCCCGCAACCGCCAAGAACUCAUCGAAGCCAGACGCCAGCGCGAAGAACAGCGCAAAGCACACAAAAAGGAACUUCGCCAAAAGGCGCGAGAGGAAGAGCAGAGGAAGCGUGACGAGGCCAUUGCACGACGAUUCUCCCCGCGCGGCUCCGGUUCAUUACUUGCCUCCCCGCGCUCCCCAGCAGACUCCAUCUCGUCGAUCCCGACCAACUUGUCUUUCGGCCGUGUCGUGUUCGCCGAUGGCCAACAGGCGGAUCCCAGCCUAAGCACGCUCAUCAAUGCAAAGAAGCGCAAAGGCCCGCAGGAUGCGCAGACGGCGCUGAAAGCGCUAGAGGCCAAACAGUCGCGCUUGGAGGGGCUGGACGAGACCAAGAGAGCCGAAAUUGAAGAGAAGGAUAUGUGGCUGAAUGCGAAGAAGCGGGCACAUGGCGAGCGGGUGAAGGACGAUAUAUCUCUGUUGAGAAAGACGUUGAAUCGCAAGACGGGGGCGAAGAAGAAGAGUGAGAAACAGUGGAAGGAGCGGAUUGAAGGUGUGAUUAAAGGGAAGGAGAUGAGGCAGAAGAAGAGGGAGGAGAAUUUGCGGAAGAGGAGGGAGGAGAAGGGGGCCAAAGGGGCCAAAAAGAAAGGCGGUGGCAAGAAGACUACUGGUGCGAAGAAGCGGCCAGGGUUUGAGGGCGGGUUCAAGGCGAAGAAGAAGUGAAUGAGUUUGUUGUUUAUUUGCUUCGGGGUUUGUACUGGAGAAGUGACGAGGAGGACUUAUUUUCUUCAUCUUGAUGAUUUGGCCAGGCUAAUAUACCUCCGAUUUUACUUAACCCAUUUUAUAUUUCACUUCUGUUUGUGAUUUAACUGUAAAUCGGUAUUUUAUAGGUCUUCGUUCAUGGCGAGGAGUUUCAUCGAUCAAUUUAACCAUUUUUUCUUGUCGAUUUCUCUUCUCAUUUGGUAUCCGUCAUUGCCUACCUACCAAAGGUAUACGAAGCACAUAGUGUUCCCCUGAUCUGGAGGAACGGUGUUGAUACAGGUGGAAUUCGUUAUGAUGCUUCUAGGUUCUCUUUUAUGCUUUCUCCUCAACUGACUUCCAACUCGCAAUUAUUACAUCUAGAAGGCCGAGUAUUCUGUAUUGCAUAAAGAGCUCUGCAUUUUUCCUGCCUCUUCUCUCUCUCCUCAUUUCCGUUUCAAACUCAUUCCGUGCUACUUUUGUAAGAUAACCUUGG